RNAcentral lists this ribosomal RNA (486 nucleotides) under uncultured bacterium. RNAcentral's name for it is "partial 16S ribosomal RNA". It matches the Rfam family "Bacterial small subunit ribosomal RNA", at positions 28 to 523 of the family's 1533-position model. The record is from RNAcentral.
GACGAACGCUGGCGGCGUGCUUAACACACGCAAGUCGAACGGUGAAAGCGGAGCUUGCUCCGCUGGAUCAGUGGCGAACGGAUGAGUAACACGUGGGCAACCUGCCCCUCACUUCGGGAUAACUCCGGGAAACCGGGGCUAAUACCGGAUAUGACCUCCUUGGGCAUCCUUGGAGGUGGAAAGUUUUUCGGUGAGGGAUGGGCCCGCGGCCUAUCAGCUUGUUGGUGAGGUAGUGGCUCACCAAGGCGACGACUGGGUAGCCGGCCUGAGAGGGCGACCGGCCACACUGGGACUGAGACACGGCCCAGACUCCUACGGGAGGCAGCAGUGGGGAAUAUUGCGCAAUGGGCGAAAGCCUGACGCAGCAACGCCGCGUGCGGGAUGACGGCCUUCGGGUUGUAAACCGCUUUCAGCAGGGAAGAAGCCGCAAGGUGACGGUACCUGCAGAAGAAGCACCGGCUAACUACGUGCCAGCAGCCGCCGUAA